AGCAGUGGGGAAUAUUGCACAAUGGGCGCAAGCCUGAUGCAGCCAUGCCGCGUGUAUGAAGAAGGCCUUCGGGUUGUAAAGCACUUUCAGCAGUGAGGAAGGUGGUGUCGUUAAUAGCGGCAUCAUUUGACGUUAGCUGCAGAAGAAGCACCGGCUAACUCCGUGCCAGCAGCCGCGGUAAUACGGAGGGUGCGAGCGUUAAUCGGAAUUACUGGGCGUAAAGCGCAUGCAGGUGGUUUGUUAAGUCAGAUGUGAAAGCCCGGGGCUCAACCUCGGAAUUGCAUUUGAAACUGGCAGACUAGAGUACUGUAGAGGGGGGUAGAAUUUCAGGUGUAGCGGUGAAAUGCGUAGAGAUCUGAAGGAACACCAGUGGCGAAAGCGAC
RNAcentral lists this ribosomal RNA (383 nucleotides) under uncultured Gammaproteobacteria bacterium. Its description in RNAcentral is "bacterial SSU rRNA". It matches the Rfam family "Bacterial small subunit ribosomal RNA", at positions 350 to 725 of the family's 1533-position model. Lineage: Bacteria; Pseudomonadati; Pseudomonadota; Gammaproteobacteria. The record is from RNAcentral.